UACGAAGGGUGCAAACGUUGCUCGGAAUCAUUGGGCGUAAAGCGCACGUAGGCGGCUUCGCAAGUCGGAUGUGAAAUCCCACGGCUCAACCAUGGACGUGCAUCCGAAACCGUGAGGCUUGAGUAUGGAAGAGGGUCGCGGAAUUCCCGGUGUAGAGGUGAAAUUCGUAGAUAUCGGGAGGAACACCAGUGGCGAAGGCGGCGACCUGGGCCAAUACUGACGCUGAGGAGCGAAAGUGUGGGGAGCGAACAGG
Molecule: ribosomal RNA, 253 nt
Filed under: uncultured bacterium
Lineage: Bacteria
Description: partial 16S ribosomal RNA
Rfam family: Bacterial small subunit ribosomal RNA
Source: RNAcentral